UCCUUGUAAUGCAUUCUAAAAUAGUAAACCAGUAAACCGGAAGUAAACUGAUUUUUCUUAGUAUAAGCCUCCUUUAAUUAGGAGCACCUCCAUAUGAAGUUUAACCUUAACUUAAAAAAUAUCCAAUAUAUGUACACGUAACAGUAUAUAUACAUAAACGAUAAAAGUGCCAUGAAUGGCAUAUUUACAGGGACCUUUUAAAUAGAAAUACAGGCGGGAAAUUUAAGAACUCAAAAUGUUUAAAACAUUACACUUUUAUUGAUUGCUGUCUUGAGCUCUGAUUCCAUCAACAACUGUCAGUCCAUACUUUACCAAUGCAAUAUAACCAUGCAUUUCCCUUUCUUUGAUUCUUAGCAUAAUUUAUGUGGCCUUUUGUUAAUCUUUUGCAUGCUCUAGGUGCCCUUUUUUAUUGGAGUUACCAUUCCCACUGUGUGAUAGGGGAAACACUAAUCUUUGUACUCUUUAUUCUGACAAAACACAAGUAUCACAGAUAGAUGUCAUCAAAUAAAAUAGUCAGAUAUGUUUUAGUUUUUUUUCAAUGCAAAUUUCUAUAUUAAACUAAAAUAUAAUAGACAGGAUCUUCUUUUUAUUAAGAAUGAUUGAUUCUUCUCUUGAAAUCUGAAAAUGGUUGAUGUACACUUUUUGAAGGAGGGUGGGGGGUCUGAAAAAGUGUACGUUUUGUACACUUUGGAAAAUGGUUGACAAUUAUGGAUGACCCCUUAA
RNAcentral lists this long non-coding RNA (723 nucleotides) under Mytilus galloprovincialis (Mediterranean mussel). Lineage: Eukaryota; Metazoa; Mollusca; Bivalvia; Mytilida; Mytilidae. The record is from RNAcentral.